RNAcentral lists this ribosomal RNA (467 nucleotides) under uncultured bacterium. RNAcentral describes it as "partial 16S ribosomal RNA". It matches the Rfam family "Bacterial small subunit ribosomal RNA", at positions 28 to 507 of the family's 1533-position model. The record is from RNAcentral.
GACGAACGCUGGCGGCGUGCUUAACACAUGCAAGUCGAACGGAAAGGCUCCAGCUUGCUGGAGUACUCGAGUGGCGAACGGGUGAGUAACACGUGGGUAAUCUGCCCUGCACUCUGGGAUAAGCCUGGGAAACUGGGUCUAAUACUGGAUAUGACCUUUCUCCUUAUGGGGUUUGGUGGAAAGUUUUUCGGUGUAGGAUGAGCCCGCGGCCUAUCAGCUUGUUGGUGGGGUGAUGGCCUACCAAGGCGACGACGGGUAGCCGGCCUGAGAGGGUGAUCGGCCACAUUGGAACUGAGAUACGGCCCAGACUCCUACGGGAGGCAGCAGUGGGGAAUAUUGCACAAUGGGCGGAAGCCUGAUGCAGCGACGCCGCGUGAGGGAUGACGGCCUUCGGGUUGUAAACCUCUUUCAGCAGGGACGAAGCGUAAGUGACGGUACCUGCAGAAGAAGCACCGGCUAACUAUGUG